GCGGGUGUCAUAGCGCACACCUGUAACCCCAGUGACUCGGGAAGCUGAGGCAGGAGGAUCACAAGUUUGAGGAUGGCCUCAGCACCUUAGUGAGAUCCUGUCUCAA
This 106-nucleotide small RNA is filed under the name Marmota monax (woodchuck). Lineage: Eukaryota; Metazoa; Chordata; Mammalia; Rodentia; Sciuridae. The record is from RNAcentral.